Podarcis raffonei (Aeolian wall lizard) is the source of this 1484-nucleotide long non-coding RNA. RefSeq lists it as uncharacterized. The record is from RefSeq and is a predicted model, not a curated record. The transcript is spliced from 4 exons. NCBI's taxonomy places the organism in Eukaryota, Metazoa, Chordata, Lepidosauria, Squamata, Lacertidae.
CAAAGAACUUUCGCAAACCGGAACACUCACUUCUGGGUUUGCGGUGUUCAGGAGCCAAGACAUUCAAGUUGCAAGGCGUUUGGCAACCAAGGCCAUCAGAACCUGUGCAAAAGAGAACCAGGGUCAUCUUUUUUGGGAGUGGCUGUGUGAUGCUACCCUGAAAUACACCUGGACAAGUCACCAACAAGCUCCAGAAGGCCACUUCAAGGAUGCUCUUCGGACCCAUGUGCUAGAAUCCCCAGGUGCUCUACUGUGUCCAGACAGAGAAUUCAAGUACAAACUACGCAUUCUGCUUAAUGCAUCGGCGCAACAAGACAAGAACCCACCGACAGCAUACAAAUCAAUAUGGCUAACUUGACCCAACAACCCCUCUCCCCACACACAAACAAAACUCACUGCAGUCAACUGAAGGUAACCAACCAUGCCCUGCUCCCCCCCCCAAAAAAAAUAUUUCUCACUUAAUUAUUCCAAACUCCAUAUCUGCUGUUUAACAUCAGGCAAAAAACAUCCCUCUUCAGUCAGGUCUUUGGCUGAUGACAUCUGGUACCCUUUUAAAUAUGCUGUGGGGAGAGGGAGGGUUUGGGUAGUUUUUAUUAUGUAUUUUGUGGGGGGGGGGCUUUUUAUAUAUUGUAUCUUUGUGUUGUGAACCGUCCUGGGAUCUGCAAAUUUAAUAAAUGACCAUGAUAAUCUGUGUGAAGUUGUUGGGAGAAGCCCCUACAGGACUUGGAGAAUAGUGUCAUUAGUACAUUGAUGACAUCCCAACUCUAUUUCUCAGUUACAUCCACGCCAAACAAGUUGGCUUUCAAAUAAGGCAGGCAUUGGCUGCAAUGUCAUUUCAGUGCUUGCAACCACACCUGGAAUACUGUGUACAAUUCUGGUUGCCUCACCUCCAAAAGGACACUGCAGAGCUAGAAAAGGUUCAGAACAGGGCAAGGGAAAUGAUCAAGGGCAUGGAGCAGCUCUUGCAUGAGGAAGUUGCAACAUUUGAGGUUUUGUGUUGGAAUCCUGGCAGCCAAGACCCAAGUCUGGGGCAAGUGCUCUUUGGUGAGCGAGCCCCAGCAGAGGGGCUAUUGUCACCUUCCCUAUCAGAAGCAAGGAGCAGGUAGUGAUAUAUCCUUAACUAUUGUCAAGGAAGAUAGAUGUUCAAGAGAUCUAGGGCGUUGACUGCAUUAUAUUGUUUGCUGGUUUUAAACAUUUCUAGGCAUUUCCAAAACACUCAAAUCAGUUUACAUAAAAUAUGUAAUCCAGUUCUAAUGGCCUUAAAACAAACUCAUAGAAGUUAAUAACCUGUAAAAAAAUAUCUACUAGCCUGCUGGGGUUGGCAGGUAAGGGAUGGAGAGAGCUGGUGCAAAGGCAAGAACUUCCUUCCUCUAGCAGCUCACCUGGUUUCUACAUUUAGGUGAGGGGAGAGACACUCACUUGCAUGCAAUUGCUUUCCACCAGUGGCUAACUGUGGGUGUGCUUAAAUACAAGGCUGAAUUACA